RNAcentral lists this ribosomal RNA (540 nucleotides) under uncultured bacterium. Its description in RNAcentral is "bacterial SSU rRNA". It matches the Rfam family "Bacterial small subunit ribosomal RNA", at positions 37 to 614 of the family's 1533-position model. The record is from RNAcentral.
UGGCGGCGCGCUUACACGUGCAAGUCGAGCGAGAAAGGGGCAACCUGAGUACAGCGGCGUACGGGUGAGUAACACGUGGGUAAUCUACCUCUGAGUGGGGAAUAACCCUGGGAAACCGGGGCUAAUACCGCAUAAGCCUGAGAAGGGAAAGCAGCGAUGCGCUGAGAGAGGAGCCCGCGGCCGAUUAGCUAGUUGGUGAGGUAACGGCUCACCAAGGCGAUGAUCGGUAGCCGGCCUGAGAGGGCACACGGCCACACUGGCACUGAAACACGGGCCAGACUCCUACGGGAGGCAGCAGUGGGGAAUCUUGCACAAUGGAGGCAACUCUGAUGCAGCGACGCCGCGUGAGCGAUGAAGCCCUUCGGGGUGUAAAGCUCUUUCGGCAGGGACGAUAAUGACGGUACCUGAAGAAGAAGCUGCGGCUAACUACGUGCCAGCAGCCGCGGUAAUACGUAGGCAGCGAGCGUGGUUCGGAAUUACUGGGCGUAAAGAGUGUGUANGCGGUGCUCUAAGUUCGGUGUGAAAUCUCCUGGCUUAACU